This 799-nucleotide long non-coding RNA is filed under the name Venturia canescens. RNAcentral's name for it is "uncharacterized LOC122408358, transcript variant X2". Lineage: Eukaryota; Metazoa; Arthropoda; Insecta; Hymenoptera; Ichneumonidae. The record is from RNAcentral.
ACGAGAGUUUUAAGAUCUUCGAUCGACCCGGGGGAAAAACUCAGGGGAGUGGGAGAACGAAAAUCCACCAAUCGCCGUCAUGUGCAGUGACCAAUUGCACUUCCGCGUGCCCACGCUUCGCAAAAGUCGUUCCUUGAGGAAAAGAGUGGGCAAAGAAAACUCCGCCAUUGCUCAACGGGUCCGAUGAGUAAACAGCGAUUCUUCCACCGGGACUUAUCUCAACGUAUGAGAAAUGGAAAAGAAAAACAUAAAAGAGUCGACGAGAUUGUCAGGAUUGAAGGAUUGAUAGUGUCAGGGCUUGUGAUUCUCGAAGGAAGUAAGGACGGCCAGAUUAUCGCGAAUGAACGAACUGCAGUGCUCAGGGUCAGAGUUGCUCAGAGGAAAAUUCAUCGAGAGGAGAGAAAAUGGAGUCCCUCGAGUUCAUGUCUCGAAGUAAAAAAAUACUAUGGAAGAAUACUGGACGAAAAACGAUUUGAAAGGGGAAGUCAAGGAAAUGUGGGCGAGGAUGAGAUGUGGCAACAUGGGAAAAAUGGGCAACAAGGGAUACAGGAACACCGAGUGUCGCAUAUGAAUUCAUUUCAUCCCUUAAAUAUGCGAGUGGGCGUACAGAUCGUGGGGGUACAAUAAGGUGACUUUUCUUGUGAUUACUGGAGUUUUAGUGGAAUCAAUUAAUUGACGAAUAAAAUGUUUUUUUUUGUCUACAGUCUUAGCUGGAAAUAUUCGAAUUCGUAUAAGUGUGACCGGGCCUCGAGGAAAAUCAUUUCAAAAUAAUGCAGCGAGUGUUAAAAAGAUGAGAAAA